GACGAACGCUGGCGGCGUGCCUAAUACAUGCGAGUCGAGCGCAGGAAACUGACGGAACUCUUCGGAGGGAAGGCAGUGGAAUGAGCGGCGGACGGGUGAGUAACACGUAAGGAACCUGCCUCAAGGAUUGGGAUAACUCCGAGAAAUCGGAGCUAAUACCGGAUAGUUCAACGGACCGCAUGGUCCGCUGAUGAAAGGCGCUCCGGCGUCACCUUGAGAUGGCCUUGCGGUGCAUUAGCUAGUUGGUGGGGUAACGGCCCACCAAGGCGACGAUGCAUAGCCGGCCUGAGAGGGUGAUCGGCCACACUGGGACUGAGACACGGCCCAGACUCCUACGGGAGGCAGCAGUAGGGAAUCUUCCACAAUGGACGAAAGUCUGGUGGAGCAACGCCGCGUGAGUGAUGAAGGUUUUCGGAUCGUAAAACUCUGUUGUAAGGGAAGAACACGUACGAGAGGAAAUGCUCGUACCUUGACGGUACCUUACGAGAAAGCCACGGCUAACUACGUGCCAGCCGCCGCGGUAA
Molecule: ribosomal RNA, 524 nt
Filed under: uncultured bacterium
Lineage: Bacteria
Description: partial 16S ribosomal RNA
Rfam family: Bacterial small subunit ribosomal RNA
Source: RNAcentral